Molecule: ribosomal RNA, 254 nt
Filed under: uncultured bacterium
Lineage: Bacteria
Description: partial 16S ribosomal RNA
Rfam family: Bacterial small subunit ribosomal RNA
Source: RNAcentral
UACGUAGGGGCCUAGCGUUGUCCGGAAUUAUUGGGCGUAAAGAGCUCGUAGGUGGUUCGGCAAGUCGGAUGUGAAAUCUCCACGCUUAACGUGGAGGGGCCAUUCGAAACUGCUGUGACUUGAGUCCGGUAGGGGAGUGUGGAAUUCCCGGUGUAGCGGUGAAAUUCGUAGAUAUCGGGAGGAACACCGGUGGCGAAGGCGGAUCUCUGGGCCAUUACUGACGCUGAGGAGCGAAAGCGUGGGGAGCGAACAGG